Molecule: ribosomal RNA, 643 nt
Filed under: Bacillus sp. (in: firmicutes)
Lineage: Bacteria; Bacillati; Bacillota; Bacilli; Caryophanales; Bacillaceae
Description: bacterial SSU rRNA
Rfam family: Bacterial small subunit ribosomal RNA
Source: RNAcentral
UGCAAGUCGAGCGAAUGGAUUAAGAGCUUGCUCUUAUGAAGUUAGCGGCGGACGGGUGAGUAACACGUGGGUAACCUGCCCAUAAGACUGGGAUAACUCCGGGAAACCGGGGCUAAUACCGGAUAACAUUUUGAACCGCAUGGUUCGAAAUUGAAAGGCGGCUUCGGCUGUCACUUAUGGAUGGACCCGCGUCGCAUUAGCUAGUUGGUGAGGUAACGGCUCACCAAGGCAACGAUGCGUAGCCGACCUGAGAGGGUGAUCGGCCACACUGGGACUGAGACACGGCCCAGACUCCUACGGGAGGCAGCAGUAGGGAAUCUUCCGCAAUGGACGAAAGUCUGACGGAGCAACGCCGCGUGAGUGAUGAAGGCUUUCGGGUCGUAAAACUCUGUUGUUAGGGAAGAACAAGUGCUAGUUGAAUAAGCUGGCACCUUGACGGUACCUAACCAGAAAGCCACGGCUAACUACGUGCCAGCAGCCGCGGUAAUACGUAGGUGGCAAGCGUUAUCCGGAAUUAUUGGGCGUAAAGCGCGCGCAGGUGGUUUCUUAAGUCUGAUGUGAAAGCCCACGGCUCAACCGUGGAGGGUCAUUGGAAACUGGGAGACUUGAGUGCAGAAGAGGAAAGUGGAAUUCCAUGUGUAGC